RNAcentral lists this ribosomal RNA (800 nucleotides) under uncultured bacterium. RNAcentral describes it as "bacterial SSU rRNA". It matches the Rfam family "Bacterial small subunit ribosomal RNA", at positions 8 to 816 of the family's 1533-position model. The record is from RNAcentral.
AGAGUUUGAUCAUGGCUCAGGAUAAACGCUGGCGGCGCACAUAAGACAUGCAAGUCGAACGGACUUAAUACCUUGCUUGCAAGGUAAGCGGUUAGUGGCGGACUGGUGAGUAACACGUAAGAAAUCUGCCUAUCAGAGGGGAAUAACAGUGAGAAAUCAUUGCUAAUACCGCAUAUGCCAUAUUUAUCGCAUGAUAGAAGUGGGAAAGGAGAAAUCCGCUGAUAGAUGAGCUUGCGGCUGAUCAGCUAGUUGGUGGGGUAAGAGCCUACCAAGGCGACGAUCAGUAGCCGGACUGAGAGGUUGAACGGCCACAUUGGGACUGAGAUACGGCCCAGACUCCUACGGGAGGCAGCAGUCGGGAAUAUUGCGCAAUGGAGGGAACUCUGACGCAGUGACGCCGCGUAUAGGAAGAAGGUUUUCGGAUUGUAAACUAUUGUCCACAGGGAAGAAUAAGGACAGUACCUGUGAAGAAAGCUCCGGCUAACUACGUGCCAGCAGCCGCGGUAAUACGUAGGGAGCGAGCGUUAUCCGGAAUUAUUGGGUGUAAAGGGUGCGUAGACGGGAGAACAAGUUAGUUGUGAAAACCCUCGGCUCAACUGAGGACGUGCAACUAAAACUAUUCAUCUUGAGUGCAGGAGAGGAAAGUGGAAUUCCUAGUGUAGCGGUGAAAUGCGUAGAUAUUAGGAAGAACACCGGUGGCGAAGGCGACUUUCUGGACUGUAACUGACGUUGAGGCACGAAAGUGUGGGGAGCAAACAGGAUUAGAUACCCUGGUAGUCCACACUGUAAACGAUGGAUAC